GGGAGGUGUUACGAAGCCCACACACUAAAGCUGGAUGGAAGCAGUCUGUGGCAGGGAUUAUGCCUAUUUUGUUUACCACUAUAUCUCAAGCACCUGGAACAAGGUUACUGGGGUUUAAAAUGGCCUUCAGGAAGACUCUAUUAUUUUUCCACUUUGGCCCCUCCCUCUGCCAAAAGCACCUUGUGAAAAGUGAGUUCCUCAAAUAAGAAGAUCUACAUUGUGUGUAAUCUUAGUGGGGCUGCCAUUCCUGGUGACUACAUUCCAUUACCAAAGCCGAAGGAAACAGAUCCUUGCCCUCCUUGACUCUGCAGGACCAGGGGCCAGAUGAAGAAACUAUGACACAGAGAGGCGAAGUAACUUGAUAAGAUCAAAACAAACUCUGAAUAUGCCAAUCCACUACCGUCUAGAAGACUAUGGGGUCUCUGAUGAGAAAUCAGCUAUUAAUCUUAGCAAGGAUCCUUGCAUGUGAUGAGUUACUUCUCUUGAUGCUUUCAACAUUCUCUCUUUACCUUUUGACAGUUUGAUUAUCGUGUGUCUUGGUGUAGUUUAUCCUACUUGGAGUUUCUUGAGCUUCUUAAAUGUGGUUAAUGUUUUUCCUCAAAUUUGAGAAGUUUCUGAGCAUUAUUUAUUUAAAUAUUGUUUUAGUCUGUUCAGGCUGCUAUAACAAAACACCAUAAACUGGGUAGCUUAUAAACAUCGGAAAUUUAUUUCUCACAGUUCUGGAGGUUGGGAAGUCCAAGAUCAAGGAACCGGCAGAUUUGGUAUCUGGUGAAGGACCAUUUUCUGGUUCAGACAGUGCCUUCUCACUGUGUUCUCACGUGGUAGUAGGGCAAGUGAUCUUCUUAUUACUCUAAGAGUGGUAAUCCCAUUCAUGAGGGCUCUACUCCCAUGACCCAGUCACCAUCCAAGUCCCUACCUCCCAAUACCUUGGGGGUUAGGAUUUCAGCAUAUAAAUUUAAAAGACCUCAUCAUAUAAAAAGACACAAACAUUCAGACCAGAGCAAAUAUUCUUUCCAGCCCUCCCGCCUUUCCAUAUGUUACUCUCAUUACACUGUGUCUGCUGUGCAUGUUGGUGCACUUGAGGGUGUCUCACAGGUCUCUAAGGGUCUGCUCUUCAAACUGGAUAUUCCAAUUAAUUUAUCUUCGACUUCACUGAUUCUUUCUUCUGUCUACUCAAUUCUGCUAUCUAAGCCCUUUAGUGAACCAUUCAGUUACUGUACUUUUCAGCUAUAAACUCUGUUUAGUUCCUUUCUAUAAUUUCUAUAUUGAUAUUCUCUAUUUGAUGAUGUAUCAUUCUUCUGGUUUCCUUUAGCAAUUUGAGCAUAAUAAAGACAGCUUACUUAAA
Molecule: long non-coding RNA, 1345 nt
Organism: Homo sapiens (human)
Lineage: Eukaryota; Metazoa; Chordata; Mammalia; Primates; Hominidae
Exons: 5
Source: RefSeq, a predicted model, not a curated record